RNAcentral lists this ribosomal RNA (406 nucleotides) under uncultured bacterium. Its description in RNAcentral is "partial 16S ribosomal RNA". It matches the Rfam family "Bacterial small subunit ribosomal RNA", at positions 29 to 526 of the family's 1533-position model. The record is from RNAcentral.
AUUGAACGCUGGCGGCAGGCCUAACACAUGCAAGUCGAGCGAGCGGCGGACGGGUGAGUAAUGUCUGGGAAACUGCCUGAUGGAGGGGGAUAACUAAUGGAAACGGUAGAUAAUACCGCGUCCAAUCAGCAGUGACCAGAUGGGAGUAGCUAGUGGGUGGGGUAAAGGCUCACCUAGGAGACGAUCCCUAGCUGGUCUGAGAGGAUGACCAGCCAAACUGGACCUGAGACACGGCACAGAGUCCUACGGGAGGCAGCAGUGGGGAAUAUUGCACAAUGGGCGCAAGCCUGAUGCAGCCAUGCCGCGUGUGUGAAGAAGGCCUUCGGGUUGUAAAGCACUUUCAGCGGGGAGGCGUUACCCGCAGAAGAAGCACCGGCUAACUCCGUGCCAGCAGCCGCGGUAAAUC